Molecule: microRNA precursor, 61 nt
Organism: Monodelphis domestica (gray short-tailed opossum)
Lineage: Eukaryota; Metazoa; Chordata; Mammalia; Didelphimorphia; Didelphidae
Source: Ensembl
UCAAAGGAGCGGUUGAUGAGAUGUUAAAUAACCUGUUGACUCUCUUCCCUACUCCUUGUUC